GACAACGCUGGCGGCGCGCCUAACACAUGCAAGUCGAACGGACGAAGGGAGCUUGCUCCCCGAGUUAGUGGCGGACGGGUGAGUAACACGUGAGCAACCUGCCUUUCAGAGGGGGACAACAGUUGGAAACGACUGCUAAUACCGCAUAACGUCAUUUGAAGGCAUCUUCGGGUGACCAAAGAUUUAUCGCUGAAAGAUGGGCUCGCGUCUGAUUAGAUAGUUGGUGAGGUAACGGCCCACCAAGUCGACGAUCAGUAGCCGGACUGAGAGGUUGAACGGCCACAUUGGGACUGAGACACGGCCCAGACUCC
This 311-nucleotide ribosomal RNA is filed under the name uncultured Oscillospiraceae bacterium. RNAcentral's name for it is "bacterial SSU rRNA". It matches the Rfam family "Bacterial small subunit ribosomal RNA", at positions 32 to 339 of the family's 1533-position model. Lineage: Bacteria; Bacillati; Bacillota; Clostridia; Eubacteriales; Oscillospiraceae. The record is from RNAcentral.